UUAGAGUUUGAUCCUGGCUCAGGAUGAACGCUUGCGGCAGGCCUAACACAUGCAGGUCGAGGGGGAAGUUACUUUCGGGUAACUGAGACCGGCGUACGGGUGCGUAACGCGUAUACAAUCUGCCUUUCACUGGGGGAUAGCCUGAAGAAAUUUGGAUUAAUACCCCAUAGUAUAGGAGCACGGCAUCGUGAUACUAUUAAAGCUUAGGUGGUGAAAGAUGAGUAUGCGUUCUAUUAGCUAGUUGGAGAGGUAACGGCUCCCCAAGGCGAUGAUAGAUAGGGGUUCUGAGAGGGAUGUCCCCCACGCUGGUACUGAGAUACGGACCAGACUCCUACGGGAGGCAGCAGUGAGGAAUAUUGGACAAUGGUCGGAAGACUGAUCCAGCCAUGCCGCGUGCAGGAUGACGGCCUUAUGGGUUGUAAACUGCUUUUGUAAGGGAAGAAUAAGGACUACGUGUAGUUUGAUGACGGUACCUUACGAAUAAGCAUCGGCUAACUCCGUGCCAGCAGCCGCGGUAAUACGGAGGAUGCGAGCGUUAUCCGGAAUCAUUGGGUUUAAAGGGUCUGUAGGCGGGCUGGUAAGUCAGAGGUGAAAGCGCUUAGCUCAACUAAGCAACUGCCUUUGAAACUGUUGGUCUUGAAUGGUUGUGAAGUAGUUGGAAUGUGUAGUGUAGCGGUGAAAUGCUUAGAUAUUACACAGAACACCGAUAGCGAAGGCAUAUUACUAACAAUUAAUUGACGCUGAUGGACGAAAGCGUGGGGAGCGAACAGGAUUAGAUACCCUGGUAGUCCACGCUGUAAAC
This 802-nucleotide ribosomal RNA is filed under the name uncultured bacterium. RNAcentral's name for it is "bacterial SSU rRNA". It matches the Rfam family "Bacterial small subunit ribosomal RNA", at positions 1 to 807 of the family's 1533-position model. The record is from RNAcentral.